CACCCAACAGCUAGCCCUCCCUCCCAAAAAUAACAACAAAACAUUAAUACCCCCUAAGACCCAAACAACUUUUAAACAAACCAUUUUUCCCCCUAAGUAUGGGCGACAGAAAAGGACCACAGGCGCUAUAGAAAAGUACCGCAAGGGAAAGCUGAAAAAGAAGUGAAACAACCCAGUAAAGUACAAAAAAGCAGAGAUGAAACCUCGUACCUUUUGCAUCAUGACCUAGCCAGAAAACAUUAAGCGAAAUGAAUUUUAGUUUAAUUCCCCGAAACUAAGUGAGCUACUCCAAGACAGCCUAUUAUAGGGCACACCCGUCUCUGUGGCAAAAGAGUGGGAAGAGCUUCGAGUAGAGGUGACAGACCUACCGAACUUAGUUAUAGCUGGUUGCCUAAGAAAUGAAUAGAAGUUCAGCCUUUUGGUUUCUUACCUCAGACCUGGCGACGCCCGCCACAGACCACAAGAAGAUCAAAAGAGUUAGUCAAAAGGGGUACAGCCCUUCUGAAAAAGACACAACUUUAACAAGCAGGUAAAAGAUCAAAAGAAUAUAAGGCACUAUAUUAGGGUGGGCCUAAAAGCAGCCAUCCCCUCAGAAAGCGUUAAACCUCAAAUAUUUGCCACCCUCUAAUACCGACAAAAACAUCUUAAACCUCUUAACCUAUUAGGCCUCCCUAUGCCCCCAUAGGAGAGAAUAUGCUAACAUGAGUAAUAAGAAGGCCCCGACCUUCUCCCAGCACCUGUGUACAUCAGAACGAACCCCCACUGAAAAUUAACGCCCCCAAUUAAAGAGAGUAUUGAUUGAUAAACUACUACACCGGAAGACCCCUCAACAAUAAGCGUUACCCCCACACAGGAGUGCCCCAGGAAAGACUAAAAGAAAAAGAAGGAACUCGGCAAACACUAGCCUCGCCUGUUUACCAAAAACAUCGCCUCUUGAGACUUAAAAUUAUAAGAGGUCCCGCCUGCCCUGUGACUAUAUGUUUAACGGCCGCGGUAUUUUGACCGUGCGAAGGUAGCGCAAUCACUUGUCUUUUAAAUGAAGACCUGUAUGAAUGGCAUAACGAGGGCUAAGCUGUCUCCUUUUUCCGGUCAAUGAAAUUGAUCUACCCGUGCAGAAGCGGGUAUAAUGACAUAAGACGAGAAGACCCUAUGGAGCUUCAGACACCAGGGCAGACUGUGUUAAAGACCCUUAAUUAAAAGAUUAAACCAAACAGCCCCUGCCCCCUUGUCUUUGGUUGGGGCGACCGCGGGGUAACAAACAACCCCCACGUGGAACAGGGAAACCCCCCUUAAUAUGAGGGCCACAGCCCUAAUAAGCAGAACAUCUGACCAUCAAGAUCCGGCUUUGCCGAUCAACGGACCUAGUUACCCUAGGGAUAACAGCGCAAUCCUCUUUUAGAGCCCAUAUCGACAAGAGGGUUUACGACCUCGAUGUUGGAUCAGGACAUCCUAAUGGUGCAGCCGCUAUUAAGGGUUCGUUUGUUCAACGAUUAAAGUCCUACGUGAUCUGAGUUCAGACCGGAGAAAUCCAGGUCAGUUUCUAUCUAUGGAGUGUUCUUCUCUAGUACGAAAGGACCGAGAAGAAGAGGCCCCUGCCAAGGCAAGCCUCCCCCCAACCUUAAGAAAUCAACUAAAAAAGGUAUAGGGGCAUACCCGCUCCGCCUAAGAAAAAGGCAU
This 1677-nucleotide ribosomal RNA is filed under the name Hypseleotris klunzingeri (western carp gudgeon). Its description in RNAcentral is "16S ribosomal RNA". It matches the Rfam family "Bacterial large subunit ribosomal RNA". The record is from RNAcentral. Lineage: Eukaryota; Metazoa; Chordata; Actinopteri; Gobiiformes; Eleotridae.